RNAcentral lists this ribosomal RNA (253 nucleotides) under uncultured bacterium. RNAcentral describes it as "partial 16S ribosomal RNA". It matches the Rfam family "Bacterial small subunit ribosomal RNA", at positions 524 to 776 of the family's 1533-position model. The record is from RNAcentral.
AACGUAGGAGGCAAGCGUUAUCCGGAGUUACUGGGCGUAAAGAGUGCGUAGGCGGACCUGUAAGUGGGUGGUGAAAGCGCCCGGCUAAACCGGGCGAGGUUCAUUCAGACUGCAGGUCUAGAGGCGGAUAGAGGGGUGCGGAAUUCCGGGUGUAGCGGUGAAAUGUGUAGAGAUCCGGAGGAACACCAGUGGUGCAAACGGCGCCCUGGGUCCGAACUGACGCUGAAGCACGAAAGCGUGGGGAGCGAACGGG